This 347-nucleotide unclassified non-coding RNA is filed under the name Zea mays. Its description in RNAcentral is "misc RNA Zm00001eb396080". The record is from RNAcentral. Lineage: Eukaryota; Viridiplantae; Streptophyta; Magnoliopsida; Poales; Poaceae.
CGCCGGAAGUGCUUCCUCCUCUCCAUUUUUCGCCAACGCCACCAGAUCCAGAGCGUCAGAAUGAAGAAAGUGACCAGAAUUCCAGAGGUCUGCAGAAGCGGCGUUUCAAUUCCCAGUCUUCAUCGGACCGCGCACCGGUUCACGCUCGCCUGGGGCCGCGCGUCCAACACUGCUCGGCGGCUGGCCGCGUUUUCCCUGCUGAUACGGUUACUGCUCUGGUGACGCCUGCAAUCCAGUCGGUCUCUUCCUUAAUGGCAGUUGAUGCCUCGCUUCCGACGCGGAUUGACCCAGCUGAUGAUGCCUCGUUUCCGACGCUGAGUGCUCCAGUUGAUGCGCCAGCUCUCCCU